RNAcentral lists this long non-coding RNA (725 nucleotides) under Elaeis guineensis (African oil palm). RNAcentral describes it as "long non-coding RNA (EGUI_LNC000512)". Lineage: Eukaryota; Viridiplantae; Streptophyta; Magnoliopsida; Arecales; Arecaceae. The record is from RNAcentral.
UGGUAGACCACAUCCUAUGCCAAAAGGUGAAUUCCACCAUCACUCUGGUAUGAUCUCCAUAGGAAGUGCCUAAACUGCUGCUCGAUUUUCGCCACCACUGUUUUCAAAAUUAUGGUAUUGGACAUCAUAUAGAUCGAGACUGAGCUAAGCACCAAUCUAAUUAGAUUGAUCCUGCCCAUCAUGGAUAAGCAUCUGACCUGCCAACAUUCCAAACAUCCCCAGAUCAAUGCCUCCAUCCCACUCUUCGGGAUCUCCGUCCUAUGAUGGGCACUCUCAAGUAGUGACAAGCUCCCAUUUGCUCAAUAAUCCCUAGCUUCUCCCUGAUAGCUUGCCUCAACUGAGUCUUAGUCUUUGGAUUGAAAUAUAAGAUCGAUUUGAGCAGAUUCACCUUCUGCCCAUACCAGUGCAAUAUCUCUCUAGAAUCCUCUUGAAGAAGUUAGUGUUCCGAAUAGAUUCCCGACCUACCAAAAGGCAAUCAUCUGCAAACAAAAAAGGUGUGAGAUCGGUCUAGCUCUUUGGGCAGGCACAUAGGGAUCCAAGGCCUACUCUAGGGUGGCUAUUUGCAGGGCCCUAGACAGUGUCAGUGCACAAAUAAAGAGAUAUGGAGAUAGGGACAACCUUGACGUAGGUCCAUUAUAGACUGAAAAUAAUCCAUCUAGGUGCCAUUAACCAGUAUGGCAAAGAAGGGAGAUCCCACACAGCCCAUGAUCCAUCUAAUCCAACAC